GCGACCCCUAGGUCAGGGCGGGACUACCCCGCUGAGUUUAAAGCAUAUCA
This 50-nucleotide ribosomal RNA is filed under the name Oncosiphon africanus. RNAcentral's name for it is "partial 26S ribosomal RNA". The record is from RNAcentral. Lineage: Eukaryota; Viridiplantae; Streptophyta; Magnoliopsida; Asterales; Asteraceae.